AACGGCAACAACGGAGCGCGGGGGGCCGGCAGCGAGGAAGAACGCAGCGAAAGGCGAGAAGGAAGGGGAAGGGCAGAAGGCAGGGAAGCAGCGAGGCGGGGAACGCACAGGGCGCCCCCGGGGAGGCCGGGGGGCAGGCCGGGCCGAGCGGCAGGGCGGCCCGCAAGCACGGCGGGGGGGGGGCCCCGGCCCCGCCCCCGGGGACGGGCCCGAAAGGCAGCGGCGGCACCGCGGCCGGGCCGCGAGCGGAGGGGGCGGGGGCACCCGCGCGGAGGCCCGGCCGGCGCCAGCCGACACCCAACGGGAGGGCGAAGGGGGACCGCGGAGCAGGGAGGGAGACCCGCGGAACGGAAGCAGAGCAAGAAGCGGAGGAAAAGAAACCAACAGGGAGGGCCGCAGGAACGGCGAGGGAAGCGGCAAGAGCGCAAAGGGGAAAGCGGCCCCCGCGGGGGCCGCGGGGGAAGGGGCAGAGGAGGCGGCGGGGGCAGCCCCCGGCGAAGGGCCCGGGAACGGGCCGGCAGAGAGGGGGAGAAGCCCGGCGGGGACGGGGGGGCGGCGGCCGGGGAAGCGCCGGCGACGAGGCGAGGGGGGGGAAGGCAGCGCGAAAGGGGGGGAAAGGGCAGCGAAAGCGAAAGACGGGCCGGAGACCGAGAGCGCACAAGGAGAGGGAGCGAAAGAGGAAAAGCACGGGAAAGAGAGGGAAACAGCACGGGAAAGGGGGAAAGGGAAGCGGGGGCGACCAGACGCGCCCGCGGGGGGCAGCCGGCAGGCGGGCCGGGGGACGGCCCCGGGGGCGGGCCAGCGGCGGGGGGGCGGCCGGGCAAAGGCCCGCGGAAGGGAGCACCGCGCGGGGGGCGGAGAGCCGAGGGGGCAAGGCGGCCGGCCCGGACCGAGGAACGCGCGGCGGCGCGGACGCGGGCGGAAGGGGCGGAAAGGACCCGGCGGGAAACACGGACCAAGGAGGCGAACAGCGACGCGAGGGGCGGGGGGCAAACCCGGACGCGCAGGGAAAGCGAACGGAGGGGGAGCCCCCGCGCGGGGCGCACCAGCGACCGAGCCGGAGGGCGGCGGAGGGAGGGAGGACGAGCGGAGCGGGGGGGACCCGAAAGAGGGGGAACGAGGCCGGAAGAGGGCGAAGCCAGAGGAAACGCGGGGGGAGGCGCGCAGCGGGGCGGACGGGCAAAGCGAGCGGCGAAGGGGGGGAGAGGGGCGAAAGACGAAGCGAACCAGCGAGGAGCGGGGGCCGGCCGAAGGGGCCCGCAGGAGAGCAGGAACGCGGAGCAGGGGAGGAGGGGAAAGCGAAGGAGGAGAGGCCGGGGGGGGAAACAACCGGAACCGAGGCGCAAACGGGAAAGAGGGAAGAAGCGCGGGGGCGGAGGGGAACGGGCGCAGGAGAAGGAAGCGGACGAGGGGGCCAGGGGGGGAAGCAGAACGGGCGAGGCGGGAGGAACCGAACGCGAGGGGAAGGGGCCGGAAGGCACGCGCAGCAGACACCACAAAAGGGGAGGGCAGCGAGACAGCCCGACGGGGGCCAGGGAAGGCGGAAGCCGCGAAGGAGGGGGAACAACGCACGGGCCGAAGGAACGAGCCCGGAAAAGGGAGGGCGCGCAAGCGGGCGACCCAGACCGCGCCGGCGGGGGAGAAACGAGGCCCCGACGAGGAGGCAGGCGGGGGGGCCGGGACGAAGCCGGGGGAGGGAGCCCGGGGCGAACGGCCCCGAGGGCAGAGCGGGGGGAGGAGCAAAGACGCAAAGGAGAACGGGGAGGACGGAAGGGGGGAAAGGGCCAGGGGAACAGCAGGGGACAGGGGGAGGCGAGCCGAAGGCAGAGGGAAGGGCCGGGGGAAAGGCGCCCGCGGGCGCCGGGGGCCGAAAGGGAAGCCGGGGAACAGGCCGGCACCGGGAGGGGGAGGCGCCACGGCAACGGAACGGAACGCGGAGACGGCGGCGGGGGGCCGGGAAGAGGGCGCGGGGCGGCGGGACAGCCGGCCACCCGGAAAGCGGGGGGCCGGAGCGAGGGGCGAGGGCGGGCAGAGCCCCGCACCGGGGCGGGGGCCGGGGCGCCCCCGACGACCCGGGAAAAGCCGCGGGAAGGAAGAGGGGCACGCCAGGGCGGACGCAGAACCGCAGCAGGGCGCCAAGGGGAACAGCCGCGAGGGGAGAGAACAAGGGAGAGAAGGGAAGGCGGCAAAAGGGAGCCGGAACGCGGGAGAAGGAGGGCGCGAAGGGGCGGGCCCGCGGGGCCGGGGGGGAAACCCCGCGGAGCAGGGGGGCACGAGCCGGGGCAACCGGCCGGCGCCCCCCAGCACGGGGGGGGGGACGCCCGGGGCAGGCGGCGGCCGGCCGGCGGGCGCGGAACGACCAACGGAGAACGGGACGGACAAGGGGAAGCGGACGGGCGAAGGAAAACAGAGCAGGGCGAGGGCCAGAAAGGGGGGGGACGCAAGGGGAGGGCGGCCCAGGGCGCGGAAGGGCAAAGGGAAGAAAGGCAACCAAGCGCGGGGAAACGGCGGGAGGAACGAGGACGCGCGGAAGGGAGCCAAAGGCCGCGGCAGCGAAGGAGGGACGCGCAGGAAGGGAGGAACGAGAGGCCCACGGCCCGAGCGACGAGCGAGCGAAACCACAGCCAAGGGAACGGGCGGGGCAGAAGCAGCGGGGAAAGAAGACCCGGGGGAGCGGGACGCGAGGGGACAGGGGAAAAGACAGAGGGGGGGGAGAAGAGGGGGGAGCGGCGGCGCCAGGGAAAGACCACGACCGGGAGCGGGGGGACGGAGGCAAGGAAGCGGAACGGGGCGGCACCGCCCAGCGGCGGGCGGGAAGGGCCGGCGCGGGCCGAGCCGGGGGGAAGACAGGGCAGGGGGGAGGGGGGCGGGGGCGGCACAGCGGGAAACCACAACGCAGGGGGCCGAAGGGGACGCAGGGAGAACAGAAAGCGCCAGGAGAACAAAAGGGGAAAAGGCCCCGGAGGGAGGGGCAGGGGGAAGACAAACCAGGAAAGGGGGCCGAGCGAGCCGGGAGGCCCGCGAAAGGGGAGGCGAGAGGGGCCAGAAAAGGACCACAGGGAGAACGGGCGGGGGGCAGCCAAGCGGGCAGAGCGACGGGGCGGGGGAGCCGGCGAGGGCGGCGCGGCCGAGCAGACCGAAGCAGAAGGCGGGAAGCGGGGGAGGGGCACCCACGAAGAGGGAACGGGAGCGGGGGGAGACCGGCGGGAGACAGGGAGGGGACCCGACGGAGGAAGGGCGCCGCAACGGGAAGGCAAGGGAGGACGAGAGGAACCGGGGAGGCAGAGAAGGGGGGGGCGGCGGGCGGACCAGGCAGGGCCGCGACGCGACCAGCGGCCGGAGAAGGGCGGAACGCCGCGAAGGCAGAAGCCGGGCCGGAACGCGG
This 3385-nucleotide ribosomal RNA is filed under the name Aspergillus lentulus. RNAcentral describes it as "28S ribosomal RNA". The record is from RNAcentral. Lineage: Eukaryota; Fungi; Ascomycota; Eurotiomycetes; Eurotiales; Aspergillaceae.